Pelobates cultripes (western spadefoot toad) is the source of this 207-nucleotide non-coding RNA. NCBI's taxonomy places the organism in Eukaryota, Metazoa, Chordata, Amphibia, Anura, Pelobatidae. The record is from the annotation of a GenBank genome assembly.
AUCUCUACAAUUAUCCGUACUAUAAAUCAACUUUUGACUAACCAACUAUAUCACAUUCUAGUAACCUCAUCUUUACAGUCAGUGGUUAUGGUACAGUUAGUAAGUGGUUAUAAUACAGUUUUAAAGUCACAGAUCAGUUAGUAACAGUUAUGGUAUUAUACAUAUAACAUAAAACAGCAAUUGUUAGUAAUUUUUACACAAUAUCAG